Molecule: non-coding RNA, 53 nt
Filed under: unclassified sequences
Description: Mu-gpT-DE RNA
Rfam family: Mu-gpT-DE RNA
Source: Rfam by way of RNAcentral
UCCUGACAGUCGCAUCCCGCGAUUGACACUAGCCACGACAGGAGACACAUAUG